This 328-nucleotide ribosomal RNA is filed under the name uncultured eukaryote. Its description in RNAcentral is "partial 18S ribosomal RNA". It matches the Rfam family "Eukaryotic small subunit ribosomal RNA", at positions 1470 to 1796 of the family's 1831-position model. The record is from RNAcentral.
CCCUUAGAUGUUCUGGGCUGCACACGCGCUACACUGAAGGGAUCAGCGUGUUCUUUUCCUGGUCCGAAGGGAUCGGGUAACCCGCUGAACCCCCUUCGUGGUAGGGAUCGGAGCUUGCAAUUAUUCUCCGUGAACCAGGAAUUCCCAGUAAGCGCAAGUCAUAAGCUUGCGUUGAUUACGUCCCUGCCCUUUGUACACACCGCCCGUCGCUACUACCGAUUGGACGUUUUAGUGAGGAUUUUGGACUGAGCCAAUGGUGGUUCACACCACUGUUGUGCAUGGAAAGAUCUCCAAACUUGAGCGUUUAGAGGAAGUAAAAGUCGUAACA